Harmonia axyridis is the source of this 5060-nucleotide RNA transcript. It is a transcript of the gene named DNA polymerase alpha catalytic subunit-like, with no coding region annotated. The transcript has 15 exons. The record is from RefSeq and is a predicted model, not a curated record. Lineage: Eukaryota; Metazoa; Arthropoda; Insecta; Coleoptera; Coccinellidae.
UGAGGUUAAAGUUCAACAAGGUCUCGUUUGUUUUGACACAUCUAUGACCUGGACAAUUUGGAGGUUAUAUUUGACAUUUUUUGAAAUAAAAUUAAGAUUUAUGAAUCUAUUCUUGAUGUGGUUCAUGAUAAUAUAGUUUAAUCUCAAUGGAUAAUGAAAAUUUAGAUUACCAUUCUUGUGAUAAUUCGCAUAUAGAUAUCAACGAGUUGAGUAAGGAAUUUAAUGCUGAAGAAUUUGCCAAAAGUCUUCUACCAAAAAGUGAUAAUUAUGAAUCAGAAGAAACGUUCUAUGGAGAUUUUUUGGAUGAUCUGGAAAAAAAGAUUGAGAGUGGCCAAAUUCCGUCUGUUACACCUAACAAUUUUGACAAUUUUCGUACUUGGUCAAAUAUAAAAUUCAAGCAAAAACAAGUUCCUUUAAUUACAAAGAAGACGAUAACUGACAACUCUGCUAAUGUUACUGAACCCGAAGUAGUAAAAUAUCAAACAGAAGUUCCAAUGGAAAACAUUGAGGGCAGGAAUAUAAAAAGCAUUUUGAAUAAUUUUUUAAAUGAAGAAAAAAAAUCUAAAGAUCUCAUUUCAAACUUGAAAUUCAACCAUGAUCCUGUGGAUUUACCGCUUAUUCAAUCUGCUAAUAAGAAGUUUUUUAGAUUUUAUUAUAUUGAUGCCUAUGAAAAACUUUUUGGAGGAGAAGCAACAGUAUAUUUGUUUGGUAAAACUUAUUGUCAUCACUGUGGAUCUUAUAAAUCCUGUUGUGCAGUUGUGAGUCCUCUUCAAAGAAAACUCUUUGUGUUACCAAGGCAAUGUAUUACAGAUGAAAAUGGAGAGAAUAUCCCAGAUAGGGCAACUUCAGUUAUAGACGAAUUCUAUAACCUUGCUCUGAAGCCUUUGAAUAUAAAAAAAUUUAAUUAUAGAUUCAUUAAAAAGAAGAUUUUGGGGGAAUCAUUUUUUCCAGCCGAAAAAAUUUUAUUAGAAAUUGAGUACUCUGCUUAUUAUCCUGCCGUUGAAAGCAAAUUACAAGGAUCAACAUUUUCCAAAAUUUUUGGUGCAAAAAAUAAUUGUUUUGAAAAUUUUUUGUUGGAUAAAUGUAUAAGAGGUCCUUGUUGGCUGGAUAUUUCCAACUCAAAAAAGGCUGUUAAAGCAAAGACUUGGUGUUAUUUUGAAGUAUCAUGUUCAACAGAAGAUAUAUCAUUAUGUGAAAGUAUUAAUAAAUCAUCAAGUCCACCUUUAACACUUCUAUCAUACCAUAUUAGAAGUGUUAACCAAAGUAACAAUAUUGCUCUUUUGUCUUGGGCUGUGAAUUUCAAUUAUGAAAUUUGGAAAGAAAAUUCUACUGUUAUAGAAGAACAAACUUAUUGUGCCUUGACUUUUGUCGGUUGUAAUGUAGGCGAGUUUGAACUACCUGAAAUUUCCAAUGGUUUAAGGAGGACUAAAAUUCAAAAACUGAAUUCUGAAAAAGAUAUGUUGAUAUAUUUUUUGAGGGAAUUCAACAAAAUAGACCCUGACAUUGUAGUUGGUUAUGAUAUUGAAAAUAAAGAUUUUCAUAAGUUUAUUGAUCGCUUAGAAUCACUACAAAUCGAAGAUUGUAAUAAAUUGGGAAAGUUUAAAGUUUUAUCAGCCAACUCGGAAUUAAGGAGAUAUUUAUUUAGUGGCCGACUUUUAUGUGAUCUGAGAUAUUUAGCCAAAGAAUUUUCCCUUUCCAGAAACUAUGAAUUGAAUGAGUUGUAUGAAAAAUUUCUUAAUAUAAAUAAAGAACAGAGAUGGGCGCCAGAAUUAGAAGAAACAUGUUUUUUAAGUGGGAAAAUGGAAACAAAAAAGUUUUUAGAAAUUCUCUUUAUUUCUUUAACUGAACCUUUACAUAUGCUUAAGUUGGUUUCAAAAACUAAUAUUAUUCCUCUUUCUGUGAAACUUACGCAGAUAUGCGGUAAUGUGUUAUCCCAAACCUUCAAUGCAAGUAUAACUGAUAGAUGCGAAUACUUGCUAUUACAUGCAUUCCAUGAACAAAAUUUCAUACCACCCAAUAAAAAGUACAAAAAGAAAACAAUAGACAUAGAGGAAGAUGAAAUAUUGUUAGGCGGUUUAGUUCUAGAACCCCAAGUUGGAUUCUAUAAUAAUUAUAUAUUGCUGAUGGAUUUUGAAUCUUUAUACCCUAGCAUUAUCCAUGAAUAUAAUAUAUGCAUAUCUCAUAAUGGGGCUGAUAAUUCAAAUAGUACUGAUCCACCUUCAGGGAUAUUACCAAAACUGAUGGGCUAUUUCAUACAAGAAAGGAGAAUGGUUAAGGAUAAAAUGAAAAGUUUAAAUAAUGAUUCCACUAUUUUUUACCGUUAUCAAAUUUAUCAGACUGCUUUAAAGUUGUCUGCUAACAGCAUAUAUGGUUGUUUAGGUUACCAUAACUUUCGUUUUAAUGCUCUAUCAGUUGCUCAGAAGGUUACAGCACAAGGUCGAAAAAUUUUGGGCAAUACUGCCUCUCUACUUGAGAAUGAAGGAUAUGAUAUUAUCUAUGGAGAUACCGAUAGCUUGAUGGUAAAUACACAUAGUAUAGACUUGGGAUAUGUGAAAGAAGUUGGUCGAAGAAUAGAAGAAAUGGUAAAUGCCAAUUUUUCUUCAAUAAAACUAAGGAUUGACUCGAUAUUCAAGAAGUUAUUGAUGAUCGCGAAAAAGAAAUAUGCGGGUAUUGCUGUAGUCCAUGACAAUGAUGUGAGAAUUCUUAAAGGUUUAGAUAUAAUAAGAUAUGAUUGGCCUGAUUGCGUUUGCGAAAUUGGAAAAAUUGUCAUAGAUAUAAUAUUAAGCGAUGAUACUCUUUUUGAAAAACAUACAAAAAUAAAGGAGCUACUAAGACAAACAAAAACAAAAUUGUCGAAAAACGACAUUCCUAUAGAAACAUUGGUAAUGACUAAAUACUUAACGCAAGAUCCAUUGAGUUAUUCCCAAGAAACAAGUUUACCCCAUGUGCAAGUAGCUCGGAGAUGUAACGAGAAAUGUCUUUUUGAUUUCAAGAUUGGUGAUGCCGUAUCCUUCGUAAUGUGUUGUGAUAAGCAGGGAACUUUCUCCCGAAAAGCUUAUCAUUUGAAGGAAUUGAAAUGCAUGAAUGAUUGGAUUAUUGAUGGUUCAUAUUACUUACGAAAACAAGUACUACCAUUUGUAUCAAAGAUUUGUUCGUCUAUUGCACUGAAUAAUUGGGAAAUUGAACAGUGUUUAGGCAAGGAAAAUCAACCUCCAAAAAAUAAACAACUUAAAUUUAAUGAAAAGAAAUUCGAAAGGAGAAAUCCAUUUAUUUUCAAUUGUCCAAAAUGUGGUGAACUAAACACAAUUGAUACAAAUGAUAAUCAAGAAAUUUUGGAUAAAUGCCAGAAUGUACAAUGUGAUUUUUGUCCUUUAGAUAAUCUCAGUUAUCUGAAAAAUAUGUUGGUAGUAACUAUUAACGGCUACAUACAAAAAUACUAUAAAUGUGAAUUGAAGUGUACUAAUGUGAAUUGUACAUUCAGAACAUUUAGGAUACCACUAUGCUAUUCAAAAGAAAAUAACAGUUGUACUGUUUGCACUAAAGGAGCAAUGGUCCAAGUAUUCAAUGAAUGUGAUCUGUUUCUUCAAUUGGCAUAUUUUAAAUAUAUUUUCAGAAGUGCAUUAUGUUCCACUUUCAAUGAACAGAAAAAAGUCGCCUGCAAUUCUUUACUACAAUCAAUUCAGUAUUACGAAGAGCUUUCUGGUUUUCUCUCAGUUGAUUUAACAAAAAUUUUCAUUAAUUUAUAAUGGCAGUUAUCAAAAUCAUAAGGCAACUGGAAAAAUAGAAUUAGUUCAAUGUUUUGAACCUUCCUGUUUAGCUUCUACUUUUUGAAUGCUUGCAGAUAAAAUUAUAAAAUUAGUUACAAAAGAAACAUGAGAGAUGCUAAUUUACAAUUCUGGUGUUAUUCUAAAUGAACUUACCUUUAUUGCUAUUGACAUAAAUUGUAAGUAUUGCAUUAUUUGAGGAAUGGUUUACAAAUCAAAUGGGGCGUUAACAAUUUAUUAUGCGUAUUUUAUUGUAAAUGCCUCUUUUAUUACAUUAACAUUAUAACAAGUGAAUGAUUAUUGUUUAUUAAUAGUCAAUAGGUGUUCCAAGCAAUUUGUGCCGAAACACAGAUAGGCAGUGCUAUACGUUGGGAUGAUGAAGAUCAGACAGUUCCAUAACGUCUACUUUGCUUUGUGACUCGAUAGAACUGCGGAGAAUUCGAAUAUUAUCAAGGAUUGAUUCAUAAUUAUUACUAUUCUGUAAUUUCUACAACGAUCAGGAAGAAGAUGAGCUUCAGAACGCAUUGGAAAGGUCAACACGCUCUGUAUUGGAGGUGUAUAAGGAGAAUAAAGGGCCAGGAUCAGUCAGUUUCUGGUGUUCUAGAAGACUCAUGGAAAGAACGAUCAGAAAGAAGAUGAGCUUCAGAACGCAUUGGAAAGGUCAACACGCUGUGUAUUGGAGGUGUAUAAGGAAAAUAAGGGGCUAGAAGCAGUCAAUUACUGGCGGUCUUGAAGACAUAUGGAAAGGUGUUGGAAACUUAAUCAUAACUGAUAUUUGUAUAGACUAAAAUUCAAAAUAUGACCAGAAUCGGGUGAGAAUCCAUCUAACAUUAUGUUAAUAGAAGGUUCCUACUGCCAGACCUACUCGAUUGUCACAUGAAGCAAGCAGGUUAGUCCUGGCGUUCUGUAAACUUACGAUGUCCAAAACAGAUUCCUACUUCUUCCGAAGUUUAACCCAACUUCAACAGAUGGCGCGGAAAAUAUGUUUUGAGAGUUGCCUUACACCUUAAUCUACGCAACAAACGUUGCACAGAAAGCAUGAACGAUUGAGUAGCUCUCUGUGUUUCUUUCAUACAUUUUUUCCAGGAAAAUAAAGGGCUAGGAUCAGUCAGUUUCUGGCAGUCUUGAAGACUUAUGGAAAGGGGUUGGAAACUAUAUCAUAACUUAUAUUUGUAUGGACUCAAAUUCAAAAAAUGACCAGAAUCGGUUGAGAGUCCAUCUAACAUUAUGUUAAUAAAUAGAAGAUACCUACUGCCCGACCCACUUGAUUAUCACCUCAAGCAAGCAUGUAGCGCG